RNAcentral lists this ribosomal RNA (253 nucleotides) under uncultured bacterium. RNAcentral describes it as "partial 16S ribosomal RNA". It matches the Rfam family "Bacterial small subunit ribosomal RNA", at positions 524 to 776 of the family's 1533-position model. The record is from RNAcentral.
UACGUAGGGUGCAAGCGUUGUCCGGAAUUACUGGGCGGAAAGAGCUCGUAGGUGGUUUGUCGCGUUGUUCGUGAAAACUCACAGCUCAACUGUGGGCGUGCGGGCGAUACGGGCAGACUUGAGUACUGCAGGGGAGACUGGAAUUCCUGGUGUAGCGGUGAAAUGCGUAGAUAUCAGGAGGAACACCGGUGGCGAAGGCGGCUCUCUGGACCACAACUGACGCUGAGGCGCGAAAGCUAGGGGAGCAAACAGG